Otolemur garnettii (small-eared galago) is the source of this 298-nucleotide non-coding RNA. NCBI's taxonomy places the organism in Eukaryota, Metazoa, Chordata, Mammalia, Primates, Galagidae. The record is from Rfam.
GCCGGGCAUUUUGGCGUGCGCCUGUAGUCCCAGCUACUUGGGAGGCUGAGACAGGAGGAUCACUUGAGUCCAGGAGUUCUGGAUUGUAGUGUGCUAGGCCUAUCAAGUGUCUGCACUAAGUUUGGCAUCAAUAUGGUGACCUCCUGGGAGCAGGGGCCACCAGUUUGCCUAAGGAGGGGUGAACAGGCCAAGUCGGAAAUGGAGCAGGUCAGAGCUCCCAUGCUGAUCAAUAGUGGGAUCCUGCCUGUGAAUAGCCACUGCACUCCAGCCUGGGCAACAUAGCGAGACCCCAUCUCUA